UAACCUAACCAGACCCCAUACAAGAAACACUCAUUCUUGCUUUUGGGCUUGUCCAGUAUUUGCUUUUUUAUGUAAAUUUUUGUGAAUUUUACGGGAAUGUUGAUGUUAUUUCUGUAAUAAGACGACGACGAUUUCAUUGGUUUUCGAGAAUUUGAGAAAAAGAUCUUUGAAAACCAAUUGACGUUCGCCUAAACCCCAAACAGUGCCUAUUUCCGUGAAGAAGUUCAAAUAACCACUCUCUUUUAACAUGUGCUAUCCGUGCUAUUCGUGCUGCGGCCCUUGCGGCGGCUGCUGUUCCCCAUGCGGCGGAUGCUGCUAUCCCUCUUGCUACUGUGGUCCAUGCUGGUCGUGUUGUGGUGGUUGUGGACCAUGUUGUGGUGACUGUGGACCCUGCUGUUAGCACUUCUUCAGAACGAAAUUUAGGCCCUGCUCAAACUGUUUGUACAAAGUAACCAACAUGCCCAAUGUAAAUUCAUGUAUUCCUACACAUGCAUACGAUAACUAUGUAUAAAUAUAUGGAAUCACGUCUAA
Long non-coding RNA from Drosophila novamexicana, 531 nucleotides. RefSeq lists it as uncharacterized. The record is from RefSeq and is a predicted model, not a curated record. The transcript has 3 exons. Lineage: Eukaryota; Metazoa; Arthropoda; Insecta; Diptera; Drosophilidae.